This 297-nucleotide ribosomal RNA is filed under the name uncultured bacterium. RNAcentral describes it as "partial 16S ribosomal RNA". It matches the Rfam family "Bacterial small subunit ribosomal RNA", at positions 332 to 627 of the family's 1533-position model. The record is from RNAcentral.
CAUGCCCUACGGGAGGCAGCAGUGAGGAAUAUUGGUCAAUGGGCGGAAGCCUGAACCAGCCAAGUCGCGUGAGGGAAGAAGGCCCUGCGGGUCGCAGACCUCUUUGGACGGGGAGCAAGGCCGCCGACGUGUCGGCGGAAGGAGAGUACCCGUAGAACAAGCAUCGGCUAACUCCGUGCCAGCAGCCGCGGUAAUACGGAGGAUGCGAGCGUUAUCCGGAUUUAUUGGGUUUAAAGGGUGCGCAGGCGGUACGGCAAGCCGGCGGUCAAAUCGCCGAGCUCAACCCCGCCCAGCCGU